RNAcentral lists this ribosomal RNA (450 nucleotides) under uncultured bacterium. RNAcentral describes it as "partial 16S ribosomal RNA". It matches the Rfam family "Bacterial small subunit ribosomal RNA", at positions 354 to 796 of the family's 1533-position model. The record is from RNAcentral.
GUGGGGAAUUUUGGACAAUGGGCGCAAGCCUGAUCCAGCAAUGCCGCGUGCAGGAAGAAGGCCUUCGGGUUGUAAACUGCUUUUGUACGGAACGAAACGGUUCUGGUUAAUACCCGGGGCUAAUGACGGUACCGUAAGAAUAAGCACCGGCUAACUACGUGCCAGCAGCCGCGGUAAUACGUAGGGUGCAAGCGUUAAUCGGAAUUACUGGGCGUAAAGCGUGCGCAGGCGGUUGUGUAAGACAGGCGUGAAAUCCCCGGGCUCAACCUGGGAAUUGCGCUUGUGACUGCACGGCUGGAGUGCGGCAGAGGGGGAUGGAAUUCCGCGUGUAGCAGUGAAAUGCGUAGAUAUGCGGAGGAACACCGAUGGCGAAGGCAAUCCCCUGGGCCUGCACUGACGCUCAUGCACGAAAGCGUGGGGAGCAAACAGGAUUAGAAACCCGGGUAGUCC